ACUUUGCUCUUUCCCAUGAUGUUGCUUUUGACCCAUAUGAGGAGUUGCCCACUUACCCUGAAGUGAAUGUUGGGCCUAGAAAUUUCAGACCAACUUAUAUGGUGGCACCAAACCAUCCUGGAUGGCAGCAGCGAGUGGCACGUUAGUGACUUCAUUGAGUUUGACUACAUGCGACUCUUCAGGAGACUCGGGCAUCUUUGAGAAAUUCAAUAAAAUAUUUGAACUACA
Long non-coding RNA from Hippoglossus stenolepis (Pacific halibut), 228 nucleotides. RefSeq lists it as uncharacterized. The transcript has 2 exons. The record is from RefSeq and is a predicted model, not a curated record. Lineage: Eukaryota; Metazoa; Chordata; Actinopteri; Pleuronectiformes; Pleuronectidae.